AGCGAACGUUUGCGGCGGGCCUAACACAUGCAAGUCGAACGGGUUGGCAACAACCAGUGGCGCACGGGUGCGUAACACGUAGGUAAUCUACCCUCAAGUUCGGGAUAACGAUCUGAAAGGAUCGCUAAUACCGGAUGUGUUCCGAAAGGAAGAAAGACCCGCAAGGGUCGCUAGAGGGCGAGCCUGCGGCCCAUCAGCUAGUUGGUGAGGUAAUGGCUCACCAAGGCUAAGACGGGUAGCUGGUCUGAGAGGAUGAUCAGUCACACUGGAACUGAGACACGGUCCAGACUCCUACGGGAGGCAGCAGUGGGGAAGUAUUGCGCAAUAGGCGGAAAGACCUGACGCAG
RNAcentral lists this ribosomal RNA (347 nucleotides) under uncultured bacterium. Its description in RNAcentral is "bacterial SSU rRNA". It matches the Rfam family "Bacterial small subunit ribosomal RNA", at positions 29 to 391 of the family's 1533-position model. The record is from RNAcentral.